UUGCUUUCUUUGCUGGCGACCGGCGCACGGGUGAGUAACACGUAUCCAACCCGCCCUUUACUCGGGGAUAGCCUUUCGAAAGAAAGAUUAAUACCCGAUAGCAUAAUGAUUCCGCAUGGUUUCAUUAUUAAAGGAUUCCGGUAAAGGAUGGGGAUGCGUUCCAUUAGGUUGUUGGUGAGGUAACGGCCCACCAAGCCUUCGAUGGAUAGGGGUUCUGAGAGGAAGGUCCCCCACAUUGGAACUGAGACACGGUCCAA
This 257-nucleotide ribosomal RNA is filed under the name uncultured bacterium. Its description in RNAcentral is "partial 16S ribosomal RNA". It matches the Rfam family "Bacterial small subunit ribosomal RNA", at positions 76 to 334 of the family's 1533-position model. The record is from RNAcentral.